AUCCUUUUGUAGUUCAUAAGCAUGAUGAUUGGAUUUUCACACACAUGCGUGAGAUGUGCCUCCCUCAGUCUUUGUUACGAGGUUGGCACAUUACCCGUCUGACA
Molecule: small nucleolar RNA, 104 nt
Organism: Prolemur simus (greater bamboo lemur)
Lineage: Eukaryota; Metazoa; Chordata; Mammalia; Primates; Lemuridae
Source: Ensembl